UGCCUGUGGAAUCACCUCGGCAGCGCGGCGGGGCCAGCUCCUUUUGUGCCGCCGCCGCCGUGAGGCUCCGGAGCGGCUCAGGCGGGUCGGGCUUCUCCCUCAGCUCGCCGCCAUGGGGGCAAGGAGCGGCUCGGGCGGGCCGGGCUUCUCCCUCAGCUCGCCGCCAUGGGGGCAAGGAGCGGCUCAGGCGGGCCGGGCUCCCUCAGCUCGCCGCCGUGGGGGCAAGGAGCGGCUCAGGCGGGCCAGGCUCCCUCGCCAUGAGGGGCCGCCGCCGCCAUGAGGCCUUCAGCCGAUGGGGGGAUCGAGGUGACCCGCAGCUGUCGGUGGCCGGCAGCAGCCCUGAGGUGGCCCGACCUUGUCGUGUGUGAAACGCCCAAGCUGUGCUGUGCUGUGCUGGGACAGCCAAGGAGACUCUCCAGGAGGGCACUUGAACCUGUGGAGAGGAGAUGAGAAGGAAUAACCUGCCCGUGAGAGACAGGGAGAGCUCUGGAGCCACGUGGGUGAGGUAAAUUGUUGGUGUGAGGCUUGCUGGAGCAGCAGGAGUGGUCAGAAGUAAAGCUGUCGAUGCUGCUUUGAAGAUCCUUGUUUGAAAGGUAUUGAGAAGAUGGAAACCUGGAGCCCACAGUUUAAAUGGGGCAGCUGGAGAAGAAUUUGUUUUCAGGAUGUGGAUGUAGGAAUUGGAAACAUCAAAGGUGAUUUGGGGCAAAGUAUAACAAGAAUUAUGUGUAGAGUUUAUUGUUGAUCUCCUCUCAUUGCUUUUUUGGAAAUACAUUUUUAUAUGACCUCAAUUAAACGUAUUUAUAUUUAAGCUUGCUCAGUUUGCUUUUCAUUAUCUUACAAGGCUGUUGGAUGCAGCAGGAUUUGAGAGUGGAGACUGGAGAGGCUGUAGUGAGGCACCAGCUCUCAUCCCUAGGCCUGGGGGGAAAUGAGCCCACAAAGGAAGGUUGGAAAAGGCUGAUGGAUGUGUAAAAUACAUCAGAACUGGUGGGGAGGGACAGACAGGGCUUCAGACAAAAAUGGUAUUUAAAUGCAAAAGCUGGAACAAAAGGAGUAAUUUGCUUUCCAAAAUGAGAUUUGGAUCCCUUUGGAUUCCUUGCAGUCUUCUAGGAAACCCUGACUUUGUGAAAUAAUCCAGACUCCUUAAAUGUCCCUGGCACUGUUAGUUUAGCCAUGAGCCCUUCUGCCACCUGAAUAUCCAGAGCUUUGAAUGCCCUUUUUUUGUACUGCACAUGGGAAUACUUGUUAAAAUACUAAUCACUGGGGAAUAAAAGUUUUUCCUGGUUGAA
Molecule: long non-coding RNA, 1286 nt
Organism: Passer domesticus (house sparrow)
Lineage: Eukaryota; Metazoa; Chordata; Aves; Passeriformes; Passeridae
Exons: 4
Source: RefSeq, a predicted model, not a curated record